UUACCAAGGCUUGACAUACACGAGAACGGGCCAGAAAUGGUCAACUCUUUGGACACUCGUGAACAGGUGGUGCAUGGUUGUCGUCAGCUCGUGUCGUGAGAUGUUGGGUUAAGUCCCGCAACGAGCGCAACCCUCGUUCUAUGUUGCCAGCACGUUAUGGUGGGAACUCAUGGGAUACUGCCGGGGUCAACUCGGAGGAAGGUGGGGAUGACGUCAAAUCAUCAUGCCCCUUAUGUCUUGGGCUUCACGCAUGCUACAAUGGCCGGUACAAAGGGCUGCGAUACCGUAAGGUGGAGCGAAUCCCAAAAAGCCGGUCCCAGUUCGGAUUGAGGUCUGCAACUCGACCUCAUGAAGUCGGAGUCGCUAGUAAUCGUGGAUCAGCAACGCCACGGUGAAUACGUUCCCGGGUCUUGUACACACCGCCCGUCAAGUCAUGAAAGUCGGUAACACCUGAAGCCGGUGGCCUAACCCUUGUGGAGGGAGCCGUCGAAGGUGGGAUCGGUAAUUAGGACUAAGUCGUAACAAGGUAAGCGUAGUGCU
This 540-nucleotide ribosomal RNA is filed under the name uncultured bacterium. RNAcentral's name for it is "bacterial SSU rRNA". It matches the Rfam family "Bacterial small subunit ribosomal RNA", at positions 971 to 1509 of the family's 1533-position model. The record is from RNAcentral.